This 294-nucleotide ribosomal RNA is filed under the name uncultured bacterium. RNAcentral's name for it is "partial 16S rRNA". It matches the Rfam family "Bacterial small subunit ribosomal RNA", at positions 505 to 798 of the family's 1533-position model. The record is from RNAcentral.
GUGUCAGCAGCCGCGGUAAAACGUAGGAGGCGAGCGUUAUCCGGAUUUACUGGGUGUAAAGCGCGUGCAGGCGGAUCGGAAAGUUGGAUGUGAAAGCUCCCGGCUUAACUGGGAGAGGUCGUUCAAAACUACCGGUCUUGAGUACAGUAGAGGGAAGUGGAAUUCCGGGUGUAGUGGUGAAAUGCGUAGAUAUCCGGGGGAAUACCAGUGGCGAAAGCGGCUUACGGGAAUGUAACUGACGCUCAGACGCGAAAGCUAGGGUGGCAAAAGGGAUUAGAGACCCCGGUAGUCUUA